RNAcentral lists this ribosomal RNA (406 nucleotides) under uncultured bacterium. RNAcentral's name for it is "partial 16S ribosomal RNA". It matches the Rfam family "Bacterial small subunit ribosomal RNA", at positions 30 to 526 of the family's 1533-position model. The record is from RNAcentral.
AUUGAACGCUGGCGGCAGGCUUAACACAUGCAAGUCGAACGAGUGGCGGACGGGUGAGUAAUGUUUGGGAAUCUGGCUUAUGGAGGGGGAUAACUACUGGAAACUGUAGCUAAUACCGCAUACCAUCGGAUGUGCCCAAGUGGGAUUAGCUAGUUGGUGGGGUAAUGGCUCACCUAGCCGACGAUCCCUAGCUGGUCUGAGAGGAUGACCAGCCACACUGGAACUGAGACACGGUCCAGACUCCUACGGGAGGCAGCAGUGGGGAAUAUUGCGCAAUGGGGGCAAGCCUGAUGCAGCCAUGCCGCGUGUAUGAAGAAGGCCUUCGGGUUGUAAAGUUCUUUCAGUGAGGAGGCGUUAAUCGCAGAAGAAGCACCGGCUAACUCCGUGCCAGCAGCCGCGGUAAUAC